GUAGGGAAUAUUGGUCAAUGGACGAAAGUCUGAACCAGCCAUUCCGCGUGCAGGAAGAAGAUUCUAUGGAUUGUAAACUGCUUUUAGCAGAGAAGAAACGCCUUCAUUGAUGAGGGUUUGACGGUAUCUGCGGAAUAAGCACCGGCUAACUCCGUGCCAGCAGCCGCGGUAAUACGGGGGGUGCAAGCGUUAUCCGGAAUCACUGGGUUUAAAGGGUGCGUAGGCGGGAAAUUAAGUCAGUGGUGAAAGUCUGUUGCUUAACGAUAGAAUUGCCGUUGAUACUGAUUUUCUUGAAUUGGGUUGAGGUUAGCGGAAUGUGACAUGUAGCGGUGAAAUGCAUAGAUAUGUCAUGGAACACCAAUUGCGAAGGCAGCUAGCUGGGCCUUGAUUGACGCUGAGGCACGAAAGCGUGGGUAGCGAACAGGAUUAGAUACCCUUGUAGUCC
Molecule: ribosomal RNA, 445 nt
Filed under: uncultured bacterium
Lineage: Bacteria
Description: partial 16S ribosomal RNA
Rfam family: Bacterial small subunit ribosomal RNA
Source: RNAcentral